This 73-nucleotide transfer RNA is filed under the name Ictidomys tridecemlineatus (thirteen-lined ground squirrel). RNAcentral describes it as "Spermophilus tridecemlineatus (thirteen-lined ground squirrel) tRNA". It matches the Rfam family "tRNA". Rfam says of the family: Transfer RNA (tRNA) molecules are approximately 80 nucleotides in length. Their secondary structure includes four short double-helical elements and three loops (D, anti-codon, and T loops). Lineage: Eukaryota; Metazoa; Chordata; Mammalia; Rodentia; Sciuridae. The record is from Rfam by way of RNAcentral.
AGGGAUAUAGCUCAGUUGGUAGAGUGCUUGCCUCACAUGCACACGGCUCUGGGUUCACUCCCCAGUGCCACCA